RNAcentral lists this ribosomal RNA (468 nucleotides) under uncultured bacterium. RNAcentral's name for it is "partial 16S ribosomal RNA". It matches the Rfam family "Bacterial small subunit ribosomal RNA", at positions 28 to 507 of the family's 1533-position model. The record is from RNAcentral.
GACGAACGCUGGCGGCGUGCUUAACACAUGCAAGUCGAACGGAAAGGCCCUGCUUUUGUGGGGUGCUCGAGUGGCGAACGGGUGAGUAACACGUGAGUAACCUGCCCUUGACUUUGGGAUAACUUCAGGAAACUGGGGCUAAUACCGGAUAGGAGCUCCUGCUGCGUGGUGGGGGUUGGAACGUUUCGGCGGUUGGGGAUGGACUCGCGGCUUAUCAGCUUGUUGGUGGGGUAGUGGCUUACCAAGGCUUUGACGGGUAGCCGGCCUGAGAGGGUGACCGGCCACAUGGGGACUGAGAUACGGCCCAGACUCCUACGGGAGGCAGCAGUGGGGAAUAUUGCACAAUGGGCGGAAGCCUGAUGCAGCAACGCCGCGUGCGGGAUGACGGCCUUCGGGUUGUAAACCGCUUUCGCCUGUGACGAAGCGUGAGUGACGGUAAUGGGUAAAGAAGCACCGGCUAACUACGUG